Long non-coding RNA from Oncorhynchus tshawytscha (Chinook salmon), 1073 nucleotides. Lineage: Eukaryota; Metazoa; Chordata; Actinopteri; Salmoniformes; Salmonidae. The record is from Ensembl.
GUGUAGUGUCCAGGUGUAUAUAUAUCUAGUCCCACCUCUUUGCCGUUGUCCAGUAGCAUGAUGUCAUCGUCAGCCAGGUCGUCCUGACAGAAGUCAGAACAUUUCUCAGACACGGCGAAGUAUCCCUUCUCAUUGGAGCAGCGGAACAGUCUGGCGUACUUCAUAUAGUCAGCGUCCUCGUCGUAUACCUUCUGACAGCCAAUCCCCACCCAGAAGAAGUUCUCCGGCUCCUCCCCCUCGUUGAUCACCUAGGAGACAGGAGCUCCGGGUCAAAGCAGGUUCUUACCAUAGAAUUAUAAUGAUGUUAACCAGACAAACUGCCUCGGUCAGAGGUUCCAUCCAUGUUAACCAGUCAAACUGCCUCGGUCAGAGGUUCCAUCCAUAUUAACCAGACAAACUGCCUCGGUCAGAGGUUCCAUCCAUGUUAACCAGACAAACUGCCUCGGUCAGAGGUUCCAUCCAUGUUAACCAGUCAAACUGCCUCGGUCAGAGGUUCCAUCCAUAUUAACCAGUCAAACUGCCUCGGUCAGAGGUUCCAUCCAUAUUAACCAGACAAACUGCCUCGGUCAGAGGUUCCAUCCAUAUUAACCAGUCAAACUGCCUCGGUCAGAGGUUCCAUCCAUGUUAACCAGUCAAACUGCCUCGGUCAGAGGUUCCAUCCAUGUUAACCAGACAAACUGCCUCGGUCAGAGGUUCCAUCCAUGUUAACCAGUCAAACUGCCACGGUCAGAGGUUCCAUGUUAACCAGUCAAACUGCCUCGGUCAGAGGUUCCAUCCAUGUUAACCAGUCAAACUGCCACGGUCAGAGGUUCCAUGUUAACCAGUCAAACUGCCUCGGUCAGAGGUUCCAUCCAUGUUAACCAGUCAAACUGCCACGGUCAGAGGUUCCAUGUUAACCAGUCAAACUGCCACGGUCAGAGGUUCCAUGUUAACCAGUCAAACUGCCACGGUCAGAAGUUCCAUGUUAACCAGUCAAACUGCCACGGUCAGAGGUUCCAUCCAUGUUAACCAGUCAAACUGCCUCGGUCAGAGGUUCCAUGUUAACCAGUCAAACUGCCUCAGUCAGAGGUUCC